This 200-nucleotide ribosomal RNA is filed under the name uncultured bacterium. RNAcentral's name for it is "partial 16S ribosomal RNA". It matches the Rfam family "Bacterial small subunit ribosomal RNA", at positions 524 to 723 of the family's 1533-position model. The record is from RNAcentral.
UACGGAGGAUGCAAGCGUUAUCCGGAUUUAUUGGGUUUAAAGGGUCCGUAGGCGGAACUUUAAGUCAGUGGUGAAAGCCUACAGCUCAACUGUAGAACUGCCAUUGAUACUGAAGUUCUUGAAUAUAUAUGAAGUGGGCGGAAUGCGUCAUGUAGCGGUGAAAUGCAUAGAUAUGACACAGAACACCGAUAGCGAAGGCA